UAGGGAAUCUUGCGCAAUGGGCGAAAGCCUGACGCAGCGACGCCGCGUGAGGGAUGACGGCCUUCGGGUUGUAAACCUCUUUCAGCAGGGACGAAGCCGCAAGGUGACGGUACCUGCAGAAGAAGCCCCGGCCAACUACGUGCCAGCAGCCGCGGUAAUACGUAGGGGGCAAGCGUUGUCCGGAUUUAUUGGGCGUAAAGAGCUCGUAGGCGGUCAUUCACGUCGGGUGUGAAAGCUCGGGGCUCAACCCCGAGAUGCCAUUCGAUACGGGAUGACUAGAGGUAGGUAGGGGAGAUUGGAAUUCCUGGUGUAGCGGUGAAAUGCGCAGAUAUCAGGAGGAACACCGGUGGCGAAGGCGGAUCUCUGGGCCUUACCUGACGCUGAGGAGCGAAAGCUGGGGGAGCGAACAGG
RNAcentral lists this ribosomal RNA (411 nucleotides) under uncultured bacterium. Its description in RNAcentral is "bacterial SSU rRNA". It matches the Rfam family "Bacterial small subunit ribosomal RNA", at positions 355 to 776 of the family's 1533-position model. The record is from RNAcentral.